GUUUAUCAAAAACAUGGCUUUUAGAAUUUAAUUUAAAGUCUAACCUGCCCACUGAAUUAUUUAAAUGGCCGCAGUAUAUUAACUGUGCAAAGGUAGCAUAAUCAUUAGUUUUUUAAUUGAAAGCUGGAAUGAAUGGUUGAAUGAAAUAUUAUCUGUUUCAUAUAUAAUGUAAAUAAAAUUUUAUUUUUUAGUUAAAAAGCUAAAGUAAUUUUAAUAGACGAGAAGACCCUAUAAAUCUUUUUAUUUUAUUGGGGUGAUAUUAAAAUUUAUAAAACUUUUAAUUAAAAAUUUACGUAAAUUAAUGGGUUAUUGAUCCUUAAAUUAUGAUUAAAAAAAUAAGUUACUUUAGGGAUAACAGCGUAAUUUUUUUAGAGAGUUCAUAUUGAUAAAAAAGAUUGCGACCUCGAUGU
Molecule: ribosomal RNA, 410 nt
Filed under: Apocephalus medius
Lineage: Eukaryota; Metazoa; Arthropoda; Insecta; Diptera; Phoridae
Description: partial 16S ribosomal RNA
Rfam family: Bacterial large subunit ribosomal RNA
Source: RNAcentral